AUUUACAUAUUCAAAAGCCUUAAUUGUUCUGAGAUGCGGGGAGGAAAAAAUUCUCUGCCUGCAGAGCUGUGUUUUUGGGAUGGAGCUGCUCACACUGCCAUUAGCACGGUGCUGCCUACAGUACCUACACGCAGCCUGGGUAAGGGAGGAGAGGCUGAUGGGAACCUGCUCUGUGAUGCACGUAGGGGUGGCAGGCAGGAGCCCAGUGGCUUUUAGCACCCGUGCAGCAAACAUGGUGCCCAACUCCAGCCAUCGCCCUGUCCCCAGUGCCAGCCUUGCACUGGACCCAAGGUGGUGCAGCUCAGCAUGCAGAUACCACAUCAGGUAUGUCAGCUGUCAGCCCACAGAGGCCAUCCCUGGCCAAGGGCUCCCAGAUUGCUCUGUUUGGCAUCAUGUGCUGACUGGAGAGGAAGGAUGUCCCCAGCAUCACACGGCAACUGGGGAGCAGAAAGCAUCAGCCCGGCAUCCCACCAAGCUGCUCACAGACAAUCUCUGGGAAGUCUCACCUUCUGCAGUGAUUCACCGCUGACCUGACAGUUCCCAUUCUGAGGAUGGGCGAUGGCACGGGCUGUGUGAUUUCUGGCUUUCCAGCAAGACCUGCUUUUGGGAGGGGUUGCAAGGGAGGUGCAUUUUGACACUGCGGAAAAAGCCCCGUGUCUCAGUUUCCCAAUAAAGAGAGGGAAGCCCCGUGUCCUGCUGUGGAAGAAGCAGAGGCAGCGAUGGUGGGGCCAUGAAAUGGUUAAAGCGGUGUCGUGCUGCCUCCCGAUUGUUCUGCAAGGUGUGUUGUGACAUUUGUACUUCCUCCUGCCACGGCGGCGGGGAGGGAUGCUGGCGCUGGGGCUGCAGCAUGGCCCUGCAUGGGUUGGUUGGGCGCUGCGGCGUGGUGCUGCUGCUGGCCCUGCUGUGCGACGUGCUGGGGCUGGUCCUGCUCCUCCUGGGGCUGUUCGCUCCUCUCAGCUACUGGGACUUCUUCGUUUACUUGGGAGCGCUGCUGCUCGCCUUCAGUAUUCUCUUCUGGAUCUUCUGGUACACGUUCAACAUCGAGGUCCCCUACAGGGAGCUGGGUUUUAAUUGACCUUCAGCACUGAAAUGGGAGCUUACGCUUGGAGGAGCAAUCUCACUUCACCAGCUGGGAAGCUGCAAAGCAUCGUUCCAUUGGUGAAGAGCAUCCACAAAGACUGCGGUUCCCCGAGCAUCGCCUGCCCACAUGGACACCAGGGAAAGGGACUGAAGAGGACCGGACUGUGAAUGUAGGGAGCAAGCAGAUGGAGAGGAACAGCAGCAAACAAGGACUCCAUUAUGCCACUCUUCAACAAAAGGUCUUCUAUUGCAAACCUGCCACCAAAGACACAGAGCGAGAUGCACUGUACUGACCUGCUGAGCCUGCCCUGGGCACGAGUACUGCAGACACCCUUUGAAUGGUGCCUUCGUGUCCCCUCUGAGCACCCUCCUACCCACUGCCAUGAUCUCAGAGAGCCCAGCAGGAGCUGCCUGGCAGCAGCAGAACCGCUGCAAAGUGUCCUGGUGAGCACUUGCAGGAUCCAGGCGGCAGCACGGACCAAUUCUCCCAGCCCCACUGAGGGUGUGAAGAGGCUGAGCAGGGCUCACAGCAUGUGGCACCAGCAGGACAUGCAGCCUGGGGACCUCACCUGUACUUUGAUGCACUCAAUGGGAGAGGGAGACAACAAAAUAUGGCAGGACAGGGGAUUUCCUAACAGAAGCCAGCUGGUGGCUGUAUGGAGGUCUUAGGUACAUUUUACCUGAUCUCACCAAGGUCUCAGGCACUUUCUAAUGGCACUUACUGAUGUACUCAGAAGGUCUGUUCAAAGAACUACUGAAGCUGAGGACAGAUAGGAAAAGAUGCAGUGUUUCAGCUGCCAAACUGGAGGCUCAGUGCAGAAACAAGCCUCCCUGCUAACUCCAAGUACAAAUCUCAGGUGGAAGGGGGUGAAGAGAUCCACGUCUUCCUCCUCCCGCAUUCCCAACACAGUGUUCAGCUUACCAUAAAGACAUCUGUGGGGUGGAACCACAUCUAAUACCUACCAGAUAGGCUGUUCCACACUUUCCAUUGCAGGCAUCAGUUUCCAGUCGUUUAAAACUUUAUCCAGCUUCACUCCAUUGUGAUUUCCCAUCCUGGAGCUCCUGUCUCAGAGAUGAAGGUGGGCGCUGCCAUCACUUCUCUCUGGAUGCUGGUGGUCAGGAUGGCACUGGUGUCAGGACUUGGCUGUUGGUUGAGCUGUGCCCUGCCACACAGGCUGCGUGCAGCUGUACUGACCCAAUGCAGGACUGAUUCACCACCAUUACAGAAAGACCUCCCAUGACUUCCCCAUGAGCAAUGGAGAUGUAUUUUGGGCACGGCGUGCACUCUGUGCACCCCCAUCAGCCGUUUCAUGCCAAGAGGUCCAAGGGCAGCAUGCAGAGAACACGACCUGCAGACGGAGGGUAGAGAUGGGGAUGCUCUGCUGGGAAGCAGCAUGGAGAUUGGUGGCCCUGCAUGCACCUGGCCACUACAGCCUCAAAGCAUCAAGAUAACUCACAUUUGAAACCUAUCUGGAACCACCUCCCAGUGCCCCAGAACGUGGAACAAGGAAUCUUGCACCAAGGGAUGGCAUCAGACCCAUCGAGCUGUGCCCUGGGGUUGCAAAACGCUGCAAGGUCCAUGCGAGGCUGUUGUGCAUUGCUCUGUUCUGGAGGAACUGUUUUGGUUUCACCUUUGUGGUUUUAUUUUGUUGUGUUGGUUCUUUUUCCUUUGUUAAAGUUGCUGCACUCCCUUUCAAAGCCAUUUGUUUACUGAUGGUGGAUGGUGGGGUGAAGGGGGAUUUAUGGCUGUGGUAACUCUGUCCACGUGUGGCUAUUACAUAUGGGAGAAUGGCAGAUGGAAGACAUGGUAGAACAUGUGGCAUAAUUCAUAGGCGCAGGACACCAAUGGCAAACAGCAGUAGCAUUAACCCUUCUCUGAAACAUGGGGGGACCUCUUCCUUUUUGUUUUUUGUUUUUGUUUUUUUUUUAAAUAAAACUAAAGAUUAGCCACUGUUGGCCCUUCUGCAUUCACAUUCAGUGGUGGGAGAGGGCACUCCACAGGUCAUUAAUCCAAAUGAACUCAGCUUAAGAGGACUUCAGUGAUUCCUACAAAUCCCCAUGAAUUCGGUGGCCAGGACAUUUCGGUUGUCAGGAGAUAGGGGGCCAUAACCCCCAGACAGUAACACUGGAAGCAAUGGCACCAUCUCUCCCACUGAUUGCCUUCUGCCCUGGGCAGGAGCCGACCUCCUCAGGGCACCCCGCCAGCCUGAAUCCAGACAUCCGUCCCUGGCUGAUCAAGCAAGAAGCCAGCUCAUAGCCAGGAACGUGAUUAAAUUUGAACUUCACCCACUGGCAGGGCCAGCCUUGCUCAAAGACUUGCAAAGUCCUGCAGCUGGCCCUGCCAGAGCCACAGCGGUGUCUCCAGCUGCUCCCAGCACUGGCAGCACUCUGAGCUGGGCUUCGACUGGUAUUUAAGCCUCACCAACCCUAACUGCUACAGCUGCCCAGCAACGGAUGGACAGGGUGGAUGAAUGGGGUGGGAAGCAGCAGCUCUGCACACCUAGCAGCACUGACACCAUUCUCACACCAUCCCAUCGCACACUCACUGCACUGCCAAUUGCAGGCUUGUUUUGCUGUCUCCACCCAGCGCUGCUGCCUUGGGUUGCUGUUAUCUGCUGGUAUUCUGCUGUGCUGAGAUGAAUCAAGGCUUUGCUGUGGAGCUUGGCCAUGGGGACACCACUGCUGUGGUUGGGCUGUCAUGGGGAUGCUGAACUGCAGAGCCAUUGGGGAAGCUCAGGUCUUUAGUGUCUGACCUGGCUUUCUCUGGGAAGCAGAGGGCAGCCAGAAAUAACCUAGUUUGGGGGAAGCAACAGGACUUGCUAAUGGAGAGAAAAUGGAGACCAGCUCUUUCUGGAUGUGUGCAACCAAAAAGAUGAGGCAAAGGGUCCUGAGGAAAAAUCCAGUGGGAUAGAAGUUUCAUUUUUAAAAAAAGAAAAGAAGAUCACAGUGAGAGUGGUCAUAGACCAGAAUGGAUUGCGGAGCUGAGGGAAUCUCCAUCCUUGGAGAACUUCCAAAGGACAGGAAAUGGUCCUGACCAACCUCACCUAACUACGAGGCUGACAUUUCUGACCCAUGUUAAGGGUUAGGCUCUGAUCGUGAGCUCUCCUCCGACAUGCAGUGUCUACAGGGAUCCUGGGAGGCAUUUCCAAUCACCAGAUGUCAAGAUGAUCGAAGUUUAGCACUUCUGAAAGCCACAGAAAUACAGGCUUCUGCACCACACCGGCCAUGGGUAUGAGAGCACUUCCCCAAAUCCUAAGACUCCACCAGUGCCCUCGUGGCAGCCUCACUCCAGUGGUUUUGCAGUGUCCUGUUGGUGGAAGACAUCCAUCCUCUUGCCACCUCUCCAGCCCUGCUUCACUUCCCAGCCUCCACUAAAGACCAGAGCUCCAUUAAUGCCUGCCUGAGCCCUGGCUGGGUUUCAAGUGGAUCCAGAGUGCUAGCCAGUAGCUAAUUGUGCUCACUGGAAAGCGUCGCAAUCAUUAGCAAUGGGAGUGAGAAGUGGCUGUGACCAGCAGCCAGCGGAUCUUGCCCAGGGGCUGGACAAGUAGAUAAAGAGCAUCUCCAGGUGACAACAGCCCUUGUGUGUUGCUGACAUCCCUGUGCUUCCUGAGGCUUGUGGCUUUCUGAACAAACCCCUCAUGCAUACACACUCAGACACUCCUGAGUGGCUAUCAGCCCAGCUGCCCAGAGGACCUGCAAGGGCUCCUGCCCACAUUUGCCAAGAUCUGCCCAUGCACAGUGACCAUGGACAGCACAAAGUGGCAGAGAAAUCACUCGCAGGACAAGGAAAGUGGCUUUUCCAGCUCCACAUACUGUUGCAGAAUGGCACAUCAUUUAACACAAAGCCUGCUGAACCACUGCUGAAGAGAAGGUCUUGCUAGAAAAUUCUCAUUCAGGUGUCUGUCAGCAGUUGCUGGAAAGAAGCAGUGCGGAGUUUCUGAAGCUGUUCAAGGUUUUUGGUUCUUUUUGUAGAGGGUUGUUAAGUUUUUUGAUGAAAAAAUAGCUGUGUGUGACCUUCACGGGAGAAGCGACCAGACCAGGGAAGGGGCAUCUGGUCCCACUGUGGGCAUUCAGGUAUCAGUGGGACAUCGGCUGAGCCCGUCAUGCACUGCCAACCCCCAGACCCAGUCCAGCUCUGGAAAACCCCACUCUUGUGCAAGGCUCCAGAAGGGGAGUUCUGCCUGGGGCUGUGCCCCAUGUGCCACCACAGGUGGACAGCGUGAAAAAGCGGAUGCCAUUUGCCAGAGAUGGAGCCAGAAAGAUCUUGGCUGAAGAGACCCAGGCAUGGGGACAUCCAGCUGGGUCACCGUCACCAUGCCUACAUCCCACACCAAUUGGACAACCCAGGCCAGCUCCAAUCCAUCCUUCGUGUGCUGGGUGCAGGGAGGGGAGGGAGCUCAGAGCAGCCUUCCUUUUAAUUAUUCAUGCUGAGAUUUCAGCUGAUGGAGCUGGGGCUCUCAGAGGCUGGAUCCUAAUGGAGCCUGCUGGCAUGUCUGGCCAGUAAGCACUCCUGGGCCCUGCACAAUUCCCACCUCUCCCAUCUCCGAGCCAUAAAAGUGCCACCUUCUCCCGCUAAUGAUGCAUUAUGCAGCCAUUACCCAGAGUUCAUAGACCUGCUGCCACCAGGCAAAGGUAAUGCUAAUGUGGGAAGGGCAACUGUGUUCUCCAGCCUGGGAAAUCACACACUGAUGGGAGGUUGCCAAGCCAGGAAUUCUAAACAGAGAAGGGGAAGAAUUUGGCAUGGAGGGGCACUGGGACCAACAGCACCCCUGUAGACCAGCCAGCAUUGUGCUGUGCUGAUGGCCUGCACAACAUCUUCACCUGCAAAGUCAUCGUGCCAUGGGUGAUGGAUGGAGUCAUCAGUGGAAGAUGAGUCAGGAGUAGCAAAGUCAGUGGUUGGACACUGUGCAGGAGAACAUCUUAAAUGCAUCAGGAGUGCCUGCCAGCCUGCUGGCUGUUCUGGUUGUCCCUUUACAGUGCUGGACAGGGCUUCCUGGGAUAUUCACCCACUCCUUUCCACAUGGACAUCCCACACAGCUGGGCAGGACUGGAAACACAGCCCUGCUGUGUGCACAGCUCAAGGUGCCAUCUAACUACAGAGGGGGUUCACAAGGACCACAGUGUCAUGGCAAGGCUUAGGUGAACUUACAGGGUCCUGUGUAUCAUUCCUGUGCCCAGUUUCUCUAUUGUCCAUCCAACAGGGAGAAAUGCAAACACCUGUCCAUAUGCCCAUUCAUCCCCCACAGCCUUUUAUCCUCACAACUCCAUCUGGUGCCCUGUUCUCAUGCUGAAGCUCCAUCCAUCCAUUUAAUGCCCAUCCAUCCCCAUGCACUCACCACCCAACUGUUCUCUGCCCACUGAAUACUCAUACCUACUUGGGAGAAGAGGAUCAAACCUGGGGUGGUUUUGGCUCCUCCUCCAAAGACAACACUAAACCUCGUGGUGCCUGUGCUGGUGGUCCUAUAGCAGUUAAAGAAGUGCAGAAAGGUUCUCUUACAGGAGGGCAGAGGGCACACUGUUGGAUAGGAUCUAUACCCC
RNAcentral lists this long non-coding RNA (6618 nucleotides) under Gallus gallus (chicken). Its description in RNAcentral is "lncRNA (ENSGALG00010029967.1)". Lineage: Eukaryota; Metazoa; Chordata; Aves; Galliformes; Phasianidae. The record is from RNAcentral.